Molecule: long non-coding RNA, 430 nt
Organism: Lagopus leucura (white-tailed ptarmigan)
Lineage: Eukaryota; Metazoa; Chordata; Aves; Galliformes; Phasianidae
Exons: 3
Source: RefSeq, a predicted model, not a curated record
UAGUUACCUGAAGUGCAUGCCAGGCUGCAUGGAAAUUAUAAACAUGUUGAUUUGGAUCUAAACUCAAGAAUUUGUGAACUGGCCCUUCGUAAAGUCUCCACAAACUCUGCUUCUGAGGACUUCAGUAGACCAUCUACUGCUGUCUCUCCCCAUUUCUGCCCUGGUGUCCUUUGUGGAAGCUCUGGAGGUUGGCUACAGCAAACACAACCUAAUGCAUGCUGCCGAUGUGACACAAGCAGUCCAUGACCUCCUUUUGAAGACAGGUGUAGUGGUAGCAGGUACAGGAGUUGGCAUCGUUACUACGUACUGAAAUGGCAGCAGUUUUGUUUGGUAAGGAGAUGAUCAUUAUCCACAGCAGAGCCAUUUGUGCUGUAGAAACAAUGUGCUUUGCAGGGGCUGUGCUAAUGCAAGUAGACAGUUGGGAUUCCUU